CGUCCGCCAAAAAGCCACGGAGAAGACACGAAGAGCUCAAAGCUUUUGGUGGUGGAGUGGGGUGGAGGGUGGCUCCGAUCCAUCGUGCGACCUCGUCAUCGCCCUCGCGGGAGCCGCUUUUUCUCACGCCGUGAUCGGAGAAUCCAAAUCGGGUUCUCUCGCUUGGCUCCCGUCUUCCUGGAAGGGCACGGAAUCGCCAAAAUCGUGCAGCAGGGACACAAUGUUGGACACAAAUGCAGGCCACAUGUUCCUGCAAAGUAUCUAGUCAGGCUGAAAUAUCAAAAUGAUGUACGCAACCAGAGGUAGACUAUUCUUCAUGGAGCCUUUUUAUGAUCACGAGCACUGUUAUGGGCAAUAUGUAAAUUCAUUAAUAUUACUUAUUGUGCACCAUUUUAGUACUCCAGCCUGGUUCUCUAGUAUCUGAAACUUGCCUUGCCAAAUAUGUUACUGAUAUAUCACAAUGGUAGCAUUUUGCACUGAUGGAUUUUUUUUCU
This is a long non-coding RNA of Musa acuminata AAA Group (dessert banana), 494 nucleotides long. RefSeq lists it as uncharacterized. Lineage: Eukaryota; Viridiplantae; Streptophyta; Magnoliopsida; Zingiberales; Musaceae. The record is from RefSeq and is a predicted model, not a curated record. The transcript has 3 exons.